This 492-nucleotide ribosomal RNA is filed under the name uncultured bacterium. RNAcentral describes it as "partial 16S ribosomal RNA". It matches the Rfam family "Bacterial small subunit ribosomal RNA", at positions 29 to 507 of the family's 1533-position model. The record is from RNAcentral.
AGUGAACGCUGGCGGUAGGCCUAACACAUGCAAGUCGAACGGCAGCACAGUAAGAGCUUGCUCUUACGGGUGGCGAGUGGCGGACGGGUGAGGAAUACAUCGGAAUCUACUUUUUCGUGGGGGAUAACGUAGGGAAACUUACGCUAAUACCGCAUACGACCUACGGGUGAAAGCAGGGGAUCUUCGGACCUUGCGCGAUUGAAUGAGCCGAUGUCGGAUUAGCUAGUUUGCGGGGUAAAGGCCCACCAAGGCGACGAUCCGUAGCUGGUCUGAGAGGAUGAUCAGCUACACUGGAACUGAGACACGGUCCAGACUCCUACGGGAGGCAGCAGUGGGGAAUAUUGGACAAUGGGCGCAAGCCUGAUCCAGCCAUACCGCGUGGGUGAAGAAGGCCUUCGGGUUGUAAAGCCCUUUUGUUGGGAAAGAAAAGCAGCAGGUUAAUACCCCGCUGUUCUGACGGUACCCAAAGAAUAAGCACCGGCUAACUUCGUG